AAACGAUAAAGUGAAGGCUCGAAUCGUCGGCGCCGAUCUCCGGGAACUUGGUUACAUCAGCAGCGGCAGUGAACACAGCGCCGAUGCUGAUACCGACGUCGCUUCACCUAGCUUUUCAGGUCUGGUUUUUGGUUUCCCUGAUGAUUUGGAUCAAAAUCAGUCAUCGGAGAAUGAUAACUCCGAUACUGAGUUAGAUGAGUCGUCAGUUGAUAACGUACCGGAAAUGAUUUUUCAAAGCGAUACAGAUUUGUUUAGGAAUGUGUUGUGUUCUCAUGUAUUUAAAGCGUUAGAAGUUUAUUCGUGUUUGAAAUUGAAUAAAUCGGUACUCAGAAGGAAUGUGAUGCUGUGUUUGAGAGAUUUUGGUUAUAAUGCUGCUGUAUGUAAAGCGAAAUGGGAGAGUUCCGGUGGACUUACCGCCGGUAACUAUGAGUUCAUCGAUGUUGUUCGAUCGGACGCUGUUAACUGUCAAACUCGUUACUUCGUCGAUUUAGAUUUCGCCGCGGAAUUUGAGAUCGCGAGACCGACGAACUCCUACGAACGGUUAUCGCAGUCGCUACCGAAAGUUUUCGUCGGAAAAAGCGAAGAAUUAAAGCAGAUAUUGAGAACAAUGAGCGACGCCGCUAGACGAUCGUUGAAAAGCAGAGAUCUACACCUUCCUCCAUGGAGGAAACACCGUUUCAUGCAAAACAAAUGGCUCGGUCCGUACAAACGGACGUCGAAUAUCACUCCAUCGACGAACACUCCGGCGUUUUUAUUACCUCCAUCGAAUCAGGCAUACACCGUGAAGUGCCGAUCUGUUGGUUUCGACACCGCCGUUCAUGGCGGUCUUUGGUUACCGGCGGCAACCCGAACUAGAUGACUUCUGAUAAUUAUUAUUUUUAAUUUUUUUAAAAGAAGAGUUGUCGUUUUGUGUUUUAACAAAAGCGUCGUCGUUUUGUACACCAUGUGAAAAAAGAG
RNAcentral lists this unclassified non-coding RNA (957 nucleotides) under Hevea brasiliensis (rubber tree). Lineage: Eukaryota; Viridiplantae; Streptophyta; Magnoliopsida; Malpighiales; Euphorbiaceae. The record is from RNAcentral.